ACUUGCUUCGAAUCUAUAUUUAGAAAAUUUCGAACGAUACAUAGAGGAUAUAGCGGGUCUGCACAAAGAUGAUACACAAAUUUCAAGAAGUGUUUCCUAUUUUU
Molecule: non-coding RNA, 104 nt
Organism: Octopus bimaculoides (California two-spot octopus)
Lineage: Eukaryota; Metazoa; Mollusca; Cephalopoda; Octopoda; Octopodidae
Source: Rfam